RNAcentral lists this ribosomal RNA (468 nucleotides) under uncultured bacterium. RNAcentral describes it as "partial 16S ribosomal RNA". It matches the Rfam family "Bacterial small subunit ribosomal RNA", at positions 28 to 507 of the family's 1533-position model. The record is from RNAcentral.
GACGAACGCUGGCGGCGUGCUUAACACAUGCAAGUCGAACGGAAAGGCCCUGCUUUUGUGGGGUGCUCGAGUGGCGAACGGGUGAGUAACACGUGAGUAACCUGCCCUAGACUCUGGGAUAACGUCAGGAAACUGGGGCUAAUACCGGAUAUGAGCUCCUGCUGCAUGGUGGGGGUUGGAAAGUUUCGGCGGUUGGGGAUGGACUCGCGGCUUAUCAGCUUGUUGGUGGGGUAGUGGCUUACCAAGGCUUUGACGGGUAGCCGGCCUGAGAGGGUGACCGGCGACAUUGGUACUGAGAUAGCGCCCAGCCCCCCAAGGGAGCCAGCAGCCGGGAAUAUUGCACAAGCGGCGCAGGCCUGACGCAGCAAAGCCGCGCGCGGGAUGACGGCCUGCGGGUUGUAAGCCGCUUUCACCUGUGACGGUGCGCGAGUGACGUUAAUGGGGAAAGAAGCACCGGCUAACUACGUG